UAGAUCCAUGAUAGUCUUAAAAAAAAUUGAAACUGCAAAAUUGACUUUUUGGGUACUUUAAUUUUGUCGAUGUCCUAUUGUAAAAUAAUUAAAUUCUUCUUACCAUUUCACUUGAAAUAUUGGAGUGAUCUUUAUUUCUUCAUGUUAUGUUUGCUAAGCAUGAAGAUAAAAGUGAACGAAUUCAUAAGACGUUCACUUCAAAUACCGUAUCUAGAUUUUUUAUUAUAAAUAAAAUUAGAUAUCACGGUUAAGUGUGUUCAAAUCUAUAUUAUUUACAAAAUUUAUACUUACAUGGAACAAUUUCCCUAUAAAUUGUUAAAACUAAAAUUAAUUUCCAUUUCUAUUAAAUUGAAAACUAUUUUCUGUAGUACCAUCCACGUAAGGUCGGAUAUGAUUUUUUUAAAAAUAAUUCAGCAUAAAACUGGUUGGGGAAGCGACAUUUCAAACACUUAUCAGCUCUUGUAAAGUGUCGUUCACAAUUGCACAUGACUCAUACCAAAGUGACAUACUUAUAUCAAUACUGAAUUCACUGUAUCACGAACCCGGAAAUAUAUCUCUAUUAUAUAAGCCAGCUCCUGAGGAUUUUUUUGGUAAAUUAACUUUUCGUGUCCACCUUAACAAAUACUAAAAUACCCUAUUACAUUAAACCCUUUCCCUCUAUCUCCCCUCAGCCAGCCAGUCCUCACUCCUUACCAACCCCGGCUUCUCCUUCCUUCACGCCUCUUUUCCUCACGAAACAAGAGCAAUUAAAUCUCAGAAAAUGGGAAACCCCAAAACUUUCGAAUCUACACUAAUCAAAUCUCAGAAAUCAAAAUCACAAAGAGAGAAAUAUCUUAGAAAACCUUCGAAUCUCACUCGAUCUCCAAAGUCACCUUCUUUGUUUUCCCCAAAUUUGAUCGAAACGACGAACAAGAGGAAUCCCUAGGAUUUGUUCGAGAAAUUUUAUUUAUUUGUGCGAUUGAUGAUACUUACAAAUACAGGUGGGGAUUCGACGGUGCAGGGUUCGAGGACGACUGACGGCAAGGUGGAGUCUGGAUCAGAAAGAAGGGGGACUCAACAAAAAAAUCUGAUGUUACUGAAGAUGACUGGGAAGUUGUUGAGCUCAACGCUCAGAGUGCUGAGGCUACUAUCUUGAAUCAGAAGCUGAAAAGUGGCGCAGAUUUUGAUUAACCCAACUUCUAGGUAUCAUUUCAAUCUCUUAAAGACAGCUCUUAUCCCUUUGGCGGAGUUCAGACAACCCUAAGUUAUGAAGAAGUACGAGGUUCUGCCUGACAUUGAAGUUCUCAUGGUAGCUCCUGAGGCUGGUAUAUCUUUUUUGUUCAAUAUUUUCUGUUAGCCAAGUUUUGCCAGCCACAUAUCUUCACUUCUCUGCAUUUGAAAUAUUACCUAUACUUCUAACACCAUGGAAGAGUAGGCAAGACCCCCAUUUUGCCCAAAUUCCGACUUUUAUAUAGUAAUUGUGAGUGCAGGUAACCCAUAGUUUAUCCCGUUUAAAUCAAAGGGCAUACAGAAUUUGUAGCUUUAUCAAAACUGUAAUUGAUUUACUCUUGAAUUAGUCAUGUUUAGGGAUCUUUACUUGAUAUGACUUGAGAUACUUAGGGUUGACUGUGUAACUUGAAGCUGGUCAGCAUCAACAAGAACUUAUAUCUUGAGAAAGAAUGAAGCGGCUCUUUCCCUAAUUUGUCUCCACUUUGAAUAUCUCUAGCUUUAUUGGCUCGCUCGCUCAACGGUUUUGCAGACCACAACUCUCCUGUGCGGAGGAGCUUAAGAAGAGUUCAUUCGUAUAUACUUCAUAGGAUUUUUUUUCUUUAGAUGAUCAAACUUUGUAAAUAAUUGUUUCUUGCUUAUUAUUUGUGGUGAUUAAUUGUAGUAACGCGAUUUUAAUUUUUUUUAUUAUCUCGCAUGCAUUGCGUGCAUAUAAGAUUUAUAUAUGUAAUCUCGCACGCAUCGCGUGCAUAUAAGACUAGUCACCUAAGACAAAAGACGCCUGUGCCAUUUUACAAAACAACAUUAAAAAAAUAUUGAUAUAAAUACACACUUUAUGUUAAUGCACUGGAUAACAGAUACAUACUUUUCUAGUAAUUGCAUUCUCAUUUAUAUACAUGGUGUAUUUAGAUGACUAAAUUUGAUAAGUAUGAGUGGGUUUCUUCGAGACAAUGGGAUUAUUUAUACAUUGUCGGUGUCAUUUAACAAAAAAAAUCUAUAUUAUCCACCACUAUACGGUAUACACUGAAUAGAAUACACAUUCCAAAGGACAUCUAACUCAAUUAAUCUGUAUUAAGGAUAAUCUUCAUUCUCUCUCCUCUUUCAAAAAUUCCUAAUCAAUUAUCUCUCCUCUUUCAAUAUUCACAAUUUAUGCUCAAUUUACCUUGCUUUACGCUACUAAUUGAUGGGUUUGCUGAUUUGCGCCUUAUCAUUGUUUAACAACUUUCAGUUCUUCUUUCUCAACUAUUAAUUUAGUUUAUAUACUUUCCAUAUUUCCUCAGGUCUUCUUUCUCAUGUUGGUACAAUGCAAGGGUUUACUGAUCUCCUCUUUUCUUUUUUGCUUUAGUUUUAAUUUAAUUUUAAUUCAAUAUGUAAUACUGUUACUUUUUUCCCUCUUUGUUGGGGUUUAACUUUCUUUUGAUUAGAAUGGAUUAGAUAAAAUACAUACAUGCAUAUUUUGAUGAAAACACAGCGGCAAGUGAGACACAAUUUGGAGUGUGUGUGAACUUUAAUUAAUUCGAUCAAUCUGAUGAUAAAGCAAGUUCCAACUAAAAUCUGUACAAAGUUUAAUUUUGAAACAAAGAAAAAUAAUAGGUACAAUUGUGUAGGAACAAAGAAAUUAAUAAGAAAAUCUAUGUCGAUUUUAUUUUUUUAUUACGUAAGAAACAACAAAUUCAUGGAGUCAAAUUCAGGUUGAAAAGGACGAAAGAUUAACCUGGAUUCUAGCGGUGCGAUAAUGUUCUCGCCGGCACAUCAAGGUCCUCGGUGGCGCAACGAUGUUAACCGCGUUCUUCAAUCUCCAGCCGUGUACAGAGGGUAGAGUUUUAAUGCGGAGUAUGAUUAUAGUUUUUUCUUAUUGUGUAAUUUUGUGUAAUUCUAUUUUCAAUGUGUAAUUUUGUUAAAGUUAAUGGUUUCCAUU
This is a long non-coding RNA of Spinacia oleracea (spinach), 3124 nucleotides long. RefSeq lists it as uncharacterized. The transcript is spliced from 6 exons. Lineage: Eukaryota; Viridiplantae; Streptophyta; Magnoliopsida; Caryophyllales; Amaranthaceae. The record is from RefSeq and is a predicted model, not a curated record.